Molecule: transfer RNA, 23 nt
Filed under: Micrococcus luteus
Lineage: Bacteria; Bacillati; Actinomycetota; Actinomycetes; Micrococcales; Micrococcaceae
Description: tRNA-Ala
Source: RNAcentral
GUCUGCAUGGCAUGCAGAAGGUC